AUGUUUAUGAAAACAUAUGAAUUAGCUGUUUUAUAAUUUGAUGUUUUUUUUAGAACAAUCUUCCUAUUAUUAUUAAAGUAUUGUGAAUAAAGAAUUUCACCAAGAACGAAGGUGAAAGAAGAAAAGAGAGAAAUGAGGUGCACAAACUUUUCGUUCGGUCGAGCUUCGGCCACUGUUUAUCUAAUUAUUUCAGAUUAAUAAUAAGAAUAAAUACCUACUUUUUAUGUAAAUGAAGCAAAGGGCAAGGCCAUACAAAAAUUUUACGACCGGAGCAUCACAAUCAUAAGGACCAAGAUUGCUACGCUAAGGCGAAGUAAAACACCCGAAUAAAUCAUAAUUAUUUUAACCGUGCUAAAGAUUAUUAGUACCGCUCUACACCUGUAGGGACGUAUAAAUAGUAAGCAAAUACACUUCAAAUGUUGUUGACUAGCUUUAUCAACUUGAAGGAUAUAUUGUAUAAACCAUGAGAAAAAUAAUUGCAACACAUAACUAUUUUAUGUUAAGAUAUAUUUCUUUCUAAUUUGGUCACAGUCAGAUAUAAAUUUCGAGACAUUUAUGUUUUCAAACUUUUUCACAUGAGCAAUAGUACUUUCGAUUACUUAAAUUUAAAUAAAAAUUCUGAAAUAAGA
Molecule: long non-coding RNA, 629 nt
Organism: Bombyx mori (domestic silkworm)
Lineage: Eukaryota; Metazoa; Arthropoda; Insecta; Lepidoptera; Bombycidae
Exons: 2
Source: RefSeq, a predicted model, not a curated record